Molecule: ribosomal RNA, 424 nt
Filed under: Fusobacteriota bacterium
Lineage: Bacteria; Fusobacteriati; Fusobacteriota
Description: Fusobacteria bacterium partial 16S ribosomal RNA
Rfam family: Bacterial small subunit ribosomal RNA
Source: RNAcentral
UGAGGAAUAUUGGUCAAUGGGCGAGAGCCUGAACCAGCCAAAUAGCGUGCAGGAUGACGGCCCUAUGGGUUGUAAACUGCUUUUAUGUGGGGAUAAAGUGCGUGACGUGUCAUGCAUUGCAGGUACCACAUGAAUAAGGACCGGCUAAUUCCGUGCCAGCAGCCGCGGUAAUACGGAAGGUCCGGGCGUUAUCCGGAUUUAUUGGGUUUAAAGGGAGCGUAGGCUGUCUAUUAAGCGUGUUGUGAAAUUUACCGGCUCAACCGGUGGCUUGCAGCGCGAACUGGUCGACUUGAGUAUGCAGGAAGUAGGCGGAAUUCAUGGUGUAGCGGUGAAAUGCUUAGAUAUCAUGACGAACUCCGAUUGCGCAGGCAGCUUACUGUAGCAUAACUGACGCUGAUGCUCGAAAGUGCGGGUAUCAAACAGG